ACGGAGGGGGCAAGCGUUACUCGGAAUUAUUGGGCGUAAAGGGCGCGUAGGCGGUCUCGUGCGUCGAGGGUGAAAUCCCCGGGCUUAACCCGGGAACUGCCUUCGAUACGGCGAGACUUGAGUCCGGGAGAGGGGAGCAGAAUUCCCAGUGUAGCGGUGAAAUGCGUAGAUAUUGGGAGGAAUACCAGUGGCGAAGGCGGCUCCCUGGACCGGUACUGACGCUGAGGCGCGAAAGCGUGGGUAGCAAACAGGAUUAGAUACCCUGGUAGUCCACGCCGUAAACGAUGGGUGCUUGGUGUCGGGGGUAUCGACCCCUCCGGUGCCGAAGCUAACGCAUUAAGCACCCCGCCUGGGGAGUACGGUCGCAAGGCUG
This 373-nucleotide ribosomal RNA is filed under the name uncultured bacterium. Its description in RNAcentral is "bacterial SSU rRNA". It matches the Rfam family "Bacterial small subunit ribosomal RNA", at positions 525 to 896 of the family's 1533-position model. The record is from RNAcentral.